CUCCUACGGGAGGCAGCAGUGGGGAAUAUUGGACAAUGGGAGCAGCCUGAUCCAGCCAUACCGCGUGGGUGAAGAACGGCCUUCGGGUUGUAAAGCCCUUUUGUUGGGAAAGAAAAGCAGUCGAUUAAUACUCGGUUGUUCUGACGGUACCCAAAGAAUAAGCACCCGGACUAACUUCGUGCCAGCAGCCGCGGUAAUACGAAGGGUGCAAGCGUUACUCGGAAUUACUGGGCGUAAAGCGUGCGUAGGUGGUUGUUUAAGUCUGUUGUGAAAGCCCUGGGCUCAACCUGGGAAUUGCAGUGGAUACUGGGCGACUAGAGUGUGGUAGAGGGUAGUGGAAUUCCCGGUGUAGCAGUGAAAUGCGUAGAGAUCGGGAGGAACAUCCAUGGCGAAGGCAGCUACCUGGACCAACACUGACAC
Molecule: ribosomal RNA, 420 nt
Filed under: Stenotrophomonas sp. 72
Lineage: Bacteria; Pseudomonadati; Pseudomonadota; Gammaproteobacteria; Lysobacterales; Lysobacteraceae
Description: bacterial SSU rRNA
Rfam family: Bacterial small subunit ribosomal RNA
Source: RNAcentral